CAUUUGUCUUUUAAAUGAAGACUUGUAUGAACGGCAAAACCUCCUCCAACUGUCUCCCCUCCCAUCCUUCCAAAUUUCCUCCUGUGUGAAGAAGCACAGAUACACCAGAAAGACGAGAAGACCCUGUCGAGCUUUAACCACUAAGUGGGCCUUACCCUUUCAGGCACCACCCAAAGGUUUUGGUUGGGGCAACCACGGAGAAAAAACAUCCUCCAGAACGAAUAGAAGAAAGCUUUUCACUAUUAUUACGACUAAGAACCAGGAACUGGUAUUCGGAAAGAGUUACCGCAGGGAUAACAGCGUCAUCUCCUCUAAGAGUCCUUAUUGACGAGGAGGUUUGCGACCUCGAUGUUGGAUUGGGGCCCCCUUAGGGUGCAGAAGCUCUAAACGGUUAGACUGUUCGUCUAUUAAAGCCCUACAUGAUCUGAGUUCNAAACCGGAGAU
RNAcentral lists this ribosomal RNA (444 nucleotides) under Holothuria mammata. Its description in RNAcentral is "partial 16S ribosomal RNA". It matches the Rfam family "Bacterial large subunit ribosomal RNA", at positions 1966 to 2625 of the family's 2925-position model. The record is from RNAcentral. Lineage: Eukaryota; Metazoa; Echinodermata; Holothuroidea; Aspidochirotida; Holothuriidae.